GACGGAAGGUGCAAGCGUUGCUCGGAAUCACUGGGCGUAAAGGGUGCGUAGGCGGCCGCGCAAGUCUGGCGUGAAAGCCCCGGGCUCAGCCCGGGAAGGGCGCUCGAAACGGCGCGGCUCGAGUGCCGGAGGGGAGAGUGGAAUUCCUGGUGUAGCGGUGAAAUGCGUAGAUAUCAGGAGGAACACCAGUGGCGAAGGCGGCUCACUGGCCCGGUACUGACGCUGAGGUGCGAAAGCGUGGGGAGCAAACAGG
This 253-nucleotide ribosomal RNA is filed under the name uncultured bacterium. Its description in RNAcentral is "partial 16S ribosomal RNA". It matches the Rfam family "Bacterial small subunit ribosomal RNA", at positions 524 to 776 of the family's 1533-position model. The record is from RNAcentral.